RNAcentral lists this ribosomal RNA (253 nucleotides) under uncultured bacterium. RNAcentral describes it as "partial 16S ribosomal RNA". It matches the Rfam family "Bacterial small subunit ribosomal RNA", at positions 524 to 776 of the family's 1533-position model. The record is from RNAcentral.
UACGAAGGGGGCGAGCGUUGUUCGGAAUUACUGGGCGUAAAGGGCGCGUAGGCGGCCCCUUUUGUCGCGUGUGAAAGCCCCGGGCUCAACCUGGGAACGGCGCGCGAAACGGGGGGGCUUGAGUUCGGGAGAGGGAUGCGGAAUUCCAGGUGUAGCGGUGAAAUGCGUAGAUAUCGGGAGGAACACCAGUGGCGAAGGCGGCUUCCUGGACCAGAGCUGACACUGAGGCGCGAAAGCGUGGGGAGCGAUCCGG